AAAAAAAAAAAAAAAAAAAAAAAAAAAAGAAAGAAAGAGAAAGAAAGAAAGAUCUAGGUGUUAAAUAAGGCUGAAAAGGAUAGGAAAAGAACUCCAAGAAGAAGUGUUUGGAAGGGUUACUGUAGCAAGAACAGGUAUCUCUUGAACAGGGGAUUAAAGAAGGAACUGGAAACUAUGUCAUUAUGCUAUUUUCCUUUCCAGAUUAGCAUAAUGCCUUCCUCUUCUCCCCUUUCCCUUCUCUUGAUGCAGUCAAAUUCUUUAUCAUGGUUACCAGAAAGGGAUUUGGCAUUGGGUGUACAGCUAGAGGUAGAAGAUCAUGCAGAUAAGACCAACAGGUCCCUCCAUUCCCCACCAAUGGCCUGCCUGUGCCGUUUCACUUCACCCAUCUCUAUAGUGCUUGCUGUGCUGGGGUGCCAUUACGUCUCCAGUUAAAUAAAUCUGAAACCACUGACCCAGGAUUUUCAUAGCAGUGCUGCAGCCUUAGAUUAGGAAAUGCAACAAACAGUCCAUUAGCACUGAUUGGAUAUGGAUUUUUGGCCUGGCCACCUGCCACUUGAUAAUUUUAGAAUAGGGUCACUUUCGGAAUUGGAAGAUUCCUUGUAGGAGGGGACUGGUAUUUGGUAAAUAGUUGUAUCUUACUGUCAUGCCCUUUCACAGCCAAGCUCUCUACCUCUGGAGUGAGGGGCCGGUCUUGUGGCCUGCCUGGCAGAAAGGGCUAGAGCUCCUUCUUCAUCAGCUUCCAGGGCUGCAGACGUGGCCAUUUCCAAACACCCAGGGUGCACUUAACCACUUCCUCCUCCUAAUCUCAGCAUUUCCACUCUUAACACAUCAGCAGCUUUGUAACUAACUUUUUUUUUUUUUUUCUGGCCGUGUUUUGGUCCUUCAGGUAUUUGGGGGAGAAAGAUGGGUAGACUGGCUAACUGUGAUAUCAGCUGAUUUCAGAAUGAUACAAUUACACCCUGAGUCACUGCCUCUGGAGAGUAAUUUAAGCGAGGGUGCCAGGAGCAUUGUGAAGGGCUCUCGUUGUUUUCACAUGUCAGUGACUGCCUGCCUUGGUUUUGCCAGCUGCAAAAUGGAGAAACUAAGUCCUCUUUUGCCUUGAGAAUGCUAAAAGGUGAAUACUUAGGUAUGGUGGGGAAGUUUCUAAGGAGACCCAGACCCCAGAUGAUGCUCUAAGAGUGCUGUGUGACCUGAAGAGGAGGGGCCUCUGGUUAGAACGUUUUUUUCACUCACCAGCAGAAAAUAAUUAUACCCAGUUGGUGGAAUAGGAGAACUGUUGGUCUGGGGCCCUGAGAUCUGACCAUGAUGUUCCCCGUUGGAAUAAAUUUUGGCCAGUAUUUCCUUUUCUCUAUGCCAUGAAAUCUUUUGUGUUGCCUUUUUCUGGACAUGAACAGGGUACUGACUUUGGCUUCUGAUAAGGAGCAUAUCCUAAAGAGAAUCUGUCCCAGAGGACUUAAGGGUUCCCUCAGUCUUUGCCACUCUGGUUACACUAUUUUUGAGCUGAAGAGGAAAAUCAGACAUCGGAUGUUCAUCUUCGUGUUAUGAGCUGUUACCCCCAGCUGUCAUAACCCUGUGUCUUGUUUCCUGGUUGUCUGCCUAAGGCCGUAUUUACAUAGAGUUUGUCAUCUUGCCUGAGUGUGGUCAGUAUCCCUUUCACCCUCGGUUUACAGCUAGACCUCGAACAUUUUGACCCAGCCAUGUCUUUUCCCCAGAGUGUUUCAAAGGACAGGCCUGUGCCCUAGAUGCCAUGAUCUUUGUUAUUUUCAAGUACAAAGCAAGAUAGUUUUCCUUAACAUGCUGCCUGUCUGUAUUUUCUUGGAAUGUCAGCCAGGGAGUGAGUUUAGUAAGGUAUAGCUAGAGAUUGCCCUUGAAGCUUUUGAUUCUUGCUUUCCUGUCCAGAAUUAUAGUCAUUGACUAUAGUCAGUUAUAGCCUAUCCCAACACCACUAAUGUAUGGCAACUUCAAAAAUUCAUGAGGCCUUGGGAUCCACAGCACCUCUCAGUAAUCUAGCCUUUCAUCAAGAGAAGUCAUAUGACUCCACCUGCCUUGUAGCCCUGCUGGAGCAUUGCCAGCAUGUGAGGUGCAGAGGGGCCACUGAGACUACCCUCCAUGGCCAGCCCUUCAGCCCUCCCAGGUGUGAGAAAGGGCUCUUUUUGCCACACUCACAUGUACUGCCAUGCAUGCCUAACACCCAGUGGCUGGAAGACUACCUCUAGGAAAAUACAGCAGCCUUACACUGCCCAGACAUUCUUUCAUCUGUCCUUCCUCUUUCAUUCUUUCACCCACCCCCUUGUGUUUCUGUAAUUUGUACAGUAUCGUUGAAAGGUGUUGAAGAGAUCAAUAGCAAUUCACCUUUUCCCUUAUUGAUUCAAGUGACGGCAAGAAAAAAUGGCAGGCAGUACCAAUUCAUUUGUCAUGAGCUAUCCAUUUCCUACCAAGCCACCAGUGACCUCUCCCAAUGCCUGUUAUGUUGCUGAUUUGCAGUUGGGAUUAUUUCUUUUUCCAGGCUGCUUUAGUAGCAAUGAGAGAAUCACUGUGUUUGACUUCUGUAAUCAAAGCUGGGUGAAGAAGGAGACUGCAGGUACUGAACAGGAAAACUGCUGUGGAGCCUGGUCUCCAGCUCUGUGGCUUUGAGGAGCUCCCCACCUGUGCCGGGCUCUCAAACAGAGGCAAUACGGCAUCAGCUGAUGGAGUUGCUGUCUCCCCCAGCACUUUCCAAGUCCCCACCCCCAGCCCCCAACCUUUUUCUAAAGGACACAGCCUUCCUUUAUUAUCUGUUUUUCCACAGAAUGUAAAUUGAGUGUGUUGAGUGAAAAGUCCAUGACCCCUGUGAACUGGCUUUGCUUUUGCUGAAGGUGCAAAGGUUUGCCAUUCCUUUCAUGAACCUUCAGGUGGUAAUUUCAUUUCACCCUGGGAGAAUAUGAGGUGCCCAGGGGUCCGGCUUUAGCAGGGCUGUGGGUGAAGGAAGGGCUCUUGUUCUUAGAGGGUUUUGCACCCACCAGGGAUGCAGAGUGGAGACAGUUCUUCUCACCUUUUUCUGCCCCAAAGAAACAAGCAUGGGGAGGGGUAGAGAGAGGGGUGUGUGUGUUUGUCUGUGUGUUUUGAUCAGUCUCACUGGGAACAGUCUCUUAACUCUCACUUGGGAAAGGUAAUGGGGGAAUCCUCCCUAUACUUCCAGAAUAGGACAUUUAGCUGCCACACACUUAGGUGCACAUUUUAAAAACGGUUCAUUGCAAAUGGCAAAUACAUAUUAAGUUCACUCACCUGGUGGGAGGACCAGGGUUCUUUGAAUCCCAGCACUCUUAGGAGGGAAGCUGGCACUGACUACAAAGCCAAAGCUUGGUUAACCCAGCUGCUGCUUCUCCUUUAUGUACCAUAUUUUAAAGGUUGUUGGUUCUUACACAGAAGCAACUAUUGUCCCCCAUGCCCAGUGUGGUCUCAACCCCCAGGCCCUCUCAUCUCCCAUUAGUGCUGACGUUUGCUGCUAUGGCAUAAAUGAGCCAAUUUGCAGAAACUCCUGCCUGUGUAGACUUUUGGCAGAGAGGCAGCAUUUGGAGGGCUACCUGGAAGAGAACCUUGCUCAGCCACUUACCUGAGCGGGCAGUUCCCAGAGCUGGUUGUUGCCAGCCUGGAGGUCGCAGUCUUUGUGUCAGCCCAAGCACCCAGCCAGCCUUCUCCAGAGUAGCACUGCCAUCUCAGUCAUGUUUCCUGAACACCGAGUGGGUUGAGGUCACUGUUUUGGAUGCCCCUCUCCCAGUGGGGAGAUUUCGCUAGAAACCCAGUGUCGCUGUGUCAGGUAGCUCUGCAGUCUGCGGAUGCCAGGCCUGGAGAAGGCAGCCAGCUCUCUGUGAAGCUGGUUAAUUACAUGUGAAGCUGCCAGCAGGACGAUUGUUUUUUUCCCAUGGAUCAUUAAUAAAGCAUUCUGGCCUGACAAUUCCAUCAUCUUCCUCAGCUUUGUCGGACAGAUCUUCCUCCUUUUUAGUGUAAAGCUUUAAAAAUGGCUGGGAGUGGCGAGAGGGAGGGAAGAGAAUAAUCUACUUCCGUUUAUUGCACGUUUUUCCCUAAGCUGGAAAGUGGACCCCUGCUUUCAGAUCAUCUUGGCAGCCAGGAUACAAAGGGUUCAAGGCUUGCCAUGGGUGGGAAAUGGCUUGGCUCCUAAUAUUUGCAGCAAACUACAGACCAGGCCUGAUUUGGAAACGAGGCAACGAGUGCAGCAGAUGGCAAAUAGUCCUGCUCCACUGGGGCUCGAGAUGCGCACCAUCUUCUUCCUCCAGCCAAGGCAGCCUCAUCCCUGCUAUGCCUGAGUGCAGAAAACAUUUCUGGCUUUUUAGAAACUCCUUUUUUAGGCAAAGAUGGAAGAAGGCAAAGCAAAUAUAAUAUGGGAAACUCAAUCUAGUUAUAGACGUUUUCUUGUCAAACAAACUAAAAUAGAGCUUUUCCUUUGCUGGUUAGAAAAAUUUAGGAAUGGAAAUCAACAAUUCUCCAAACAGCAUUAAGUGCAAAGAUAAAAACCAAAUUAUUAAUAGAAGUGAGUAUGACCCAUUCAGUUUCCAAGGACUUGAGCAUACAACCCUCAUAAUACUGAAUUAUAUAGCCUUUCAUAGAUAUAAGGGCUCUAGAGGUUAUAUAGUCCAAUCCAAACAUUUCACAGUAAAUGAGAAAACUGAGGCAUGAAGAAGUUCAUCACUUGGGCACAUUCACACGGUAAAUUCAUGGUGGAGCUAAAGUCUCCACAUUCCUGUUGUAUUGCUCUUACCUUUAUCCCCACAGUGCCUCCCAGACAACGGCCUCAUCAUCCACCUGAAGUACAAGUAAUAAUUUGAGAAUAUGACAGUGGCAUAUAAAAGGGAGUAGGUGAUGUGAUGGAGGCAGACAGAGAGGUAAGGAAGUGCAUUCUCUUUAUAUUAUUUUAGUGAGAUAGGGAUGAGGGCCUAAGUCAGAGAAGUCAUCCGGGGCCUUGGCCUUCUGUAAGGAAUCUCCUAGACAGGGGUGCAAAGAUAACCACACACAGAUUGAGAAAGCAUUCCGGGGGAGGAGGAGUACAGGUGUCUGACAGACCUGGAAUUUUCCAUUGCUUUUCCUCAUAUGUAGUUGUAGAAAAGCUGCUGUCUAUUUGUGCCAAAUCUAAGCUUCAGAUAAGCCCAGAGGAAACCAAGGAGUGCUAAACUAUCGUAAGUUGGGGCUUUUUCUUUUUUUAAGAGGGGAGUUGCAUUGUUCAAUUGAGAGAGUUAUAGGGAGGUCAUAUUGCCCAUCUGGGAUUGCCCUCCAACUCCCUAGGGUACUCUAGUUCAAACACUCUGUUCUGGUCAAGUUGAGGCAGGGCACAGGGUGGGCCCAUGAGUGCCAUCCUUUCCCCGGUAUCCUGUACUCCUGACCUGCUGCCUCUACUCUGCCACGAGGCUGAUGCAGGAGCCAGGCUAUGCUGUCAGGGUCUGGGGUCUCUCCCACCCUGUAGCAGAGGCUGGUUACCCUUCUUGUUAGCAGUGAUGUCUGUUUGUCUUUUAAGGGGUUGUCAAUUGGGGGAGGAACAAAUCACAUUUUCCAGCAAUUUAAUUUUAUUAACUCUGAUUUUUUCCCCUUUUCCAAAGCACAGCUAAAUGGAGCUAAACAUACACAUGAGGGCUAUAUUUAGUCCUAAUGGUGUGGUAGAGUAGAGAAGGCACAAACACAGAGGUUUAUCUGCUACCUAGUAAACAUGGGGAGGUGUCAGGACUGGAGAAUUCAAUAGUAAUAAUAAGCAUUUUUAUGGUACAAUGACAGCUUUGAUACAGGGCAUAAUUUUCUCAGGAUUGCUAUUAAUUGUGCUUCUGCCUGUGAGCGGCCCCCUGGUGAGGGGCUUGGAACACCACACAAGUUAAGCUAUAUUAAACAUCAAUUAAAACAGCAUAAAAUAGAAACUGAAUAAAAUUUGCAAAGGUCGGAGUGGCUGUGAACAUGCAAACAAGGCACUGGGGAAGAAAGGGUUAGGGCCUGGUGAGCCUGGUGCAUGCUCCCAGAUGCUAUGAGCUUAGUAGGUUUGCUAGAGAAUGAAUUAUGGGACCCUCUAGCUUUUCCAAGUUCAAUUCUCCUCAAAGAGGUUUCAGAAACUGCUCAUUGCAGGCAGCUAGAGAUGAAAAGACAACCAGCUUCUACCAGUGCUGUCUAACACAACUUUUUAUGUUGGUGGAAAUAUUCUUUAUCUCUGCUGUCCAGUACAGUAGCCACAUAUGGAUAUUGAGCACUCGAGAUACAGUUUAUGCAACUGAGGAAUAGAAUCUUUAUGAAAUUUAAAUAAUUUUAAUGUAAAUAGCCACAUGGGGCUAGUGGCCACCAUAUUGGACAACACAGGACUCUAGACAAGUCCCCUGCACACUGGGCACUCUGGCAAUGUUAGGUUUGCAUUGUGUUCUUCUGAAAAAGUCUGCACCUUCCCCCAUGCCAGUAAAUGUGUUUUCUCAGUAACUUUUUAUUUAUUUGACCCUUAUCUUUCAUGCUCUUGACACAAACUUCCUCAUUUUUUCAUAAGGGUCACACACAAUGCCAAGAAAUGAGAAAGGAGUUAAUGGCCAGAUCAAAUCAGACAGCCUUGUCUUUAUCCUUGCCUCCUUUUCUCCCGAUAGCCCCUAGCCAAUCUAAUACCAAGUGUUUCCCACUCCCAGAGAAAAAAGGAGGGAAUGGCUUUGGAUCUCUGGCUGAAGAUCACAGACUGCGGAGUCGUCACUGUUCCCACUGAACAUCUGAUUAAGUUGCUGAGUUUGACCCUUGAGUUUCCCAGAACUUGCAGGGAUUGCAGAAUCAUCCAGGCAGCACACUCCUGACAGUCUUUAGUCCUUUUGGCAUCUGAACUGAAAAUCUCUUUUCCCAUAGCUCUUUUAACACUUGUUGAAUGCUUAUAAUGAAUCCAUUCAUUAGGAUGACACAGUAUAGGAGAACAAAGCACUACACCUGUAAUCAGAAAUCCCAUGUUUAAGUCCUGACUCUUCCAUUUACUGUCUCUGUGACCUUGACAAAAUCAUUUCACCUCCCUGAGGCUUCAUCUUCCCCAAUAAAAAUGAGUGUAUUGGACUAAAUGACCUGUGGGUGCUAAGAAGAAAAGAGUGCCAGAGAAAGAGGCCCUUAUUGUGAAGCCCUGUGCUUCCACAGAGUCUCCCCCUUCUGAUGUCAGCUUGCAUUUAAAGCAGCGCUUUCCUGAGGCCACUGAGACACUUCCAGCAAGUCUGGUUACCAUUCACCCCACCCACCGGUUGCUGUCCAGCACCACAGACAUACCCUGAGCCAGACAGCAUGGCAUACUGCCUCUGGUGGUUAUUAUGCAUAUAUGAACCUCAGAGAAGUCAAGACCAGUCCCCUAUUACUUUGGGUUAUCCUCAAAGAUGCCAAGAGGGCAAGAGGCUUCUUGGCUUGGGCACUGGGUCCAUAAAGCAAGAGGGGCUUUGGAGUUACCUGACGUGUGCAGAUCUCCAUGCUGGCUUGAUGGCUGUUGCCAGCCUUCCUCCAUCCAGCAAUAGCUAGUCACUGCUCCAAGGAUUGUCCCCAGCCGCCCAGAGCCCCUGUGGCGCCGCCAACACUGCACAGCUCACAAAGCGCCCUGUAGCAUCUCUAAUUGAGGAGCUGGUAUGCGGACGCCCUCAGCAGAGGUAUUUUUAGCUGCAGUGAUACAGCCUCAUCUUUUUGCAGGACGUUUUGUUUAGUUAUUUUUUUAAUGAAAUAAAUAAGUAAAAUUGAAGACUGUGGUACUUAUAUCCCAGUGCCAAUACCCAAGAAGUUUUGGCAUGCACCCCUCCCCCCCGCCCCCCACCAAACACAUACACCACAGGCCUAUAUAAUUAAUCCUCUCCAAGACCAGGUGCUGAGGCUCAGAGUUUGCCAGAAUAUUAGGCCAGAGAGACAGUAUGUACAGAAGCAAGAAGAGCUAGAAAUAGAGUGGAGGAAUGAUGCAGACUGGCCCAGAGCAAAGGUGCUUACGGGCCCUGUGAGCCGCCCAGGCAGCUGGGAACUACCCUAGUUCCUGGCCUUUCAGACCUUUGAUGGAUUUGGUGGAUCAAGUGAGUGGGCCUCAACUCCUGGAGAGAGAGUUUCCUUGUAGUAUACAAAGGAUUCAGUUCUAUGCCUUACUGACAUUUUAAUGCUUUUGUUUUCCUUCUUUUCAUCCUGUCUGUGGCAUGUCACGUUUUCCUUGGUUCUUUUAUUGUGUAACAUGUGAUCAGGGACUAGAGGACAUUCGCAGAGUUUGUUUCAGAUCAGAGAGCAGGACCAGGGUAGUGGCUCUCACCGCUGGCUGCACACUGGAAUCAUGGGGUAGGAAGGCUUAGGAAAGCUACUAAUGCCUGGACUUUCCUCCAAAGAGUCUGGCUUCAUCAAGCACCAGCUCUUUAACUUCCCCAGAUAUAUUAGCUGAUACCAA
Long non-coding RNA from Sapajus apella (tufted capuchin), 8383 nucleotides. RefSeq lists it as uncharacterized. The transcript has 2 exons. The record is from RefSeq and is a predicted model, not a curated record. NCBI's taxonomy places the organism in Eukaryota, Metazoa, Chordata, Mammalia, Primates, Cebidae.